ACGAACGCUGGCGGCGUGCUUCACCCAUGCCAGUCGAACGGAGAGGCCCUGCUUUUGUGGGGUGCUCGAGUGGCGAACGGGUGAGUAACACGUGAGUAACCUGCCCUUGACUUUGGGAUAACUUCAGGAAACUGGGGCUAAUACCGGAUAGGAGCUCCUGCUGCAUGGUGGGGGUUGGAAAGUUUCGGCGGUUGGGGAUGGACUCGCGGCUUAUCAGCUUGUUGGUGGGGUAGUGGCUUACCAAGGCUUUGACGGGUAGCCGGCCUGAGAGGGUGACCGGCCACAUUGGGACUGAGAUACGGCCCAGACUCCUACGGGAGGCAGCAGUGGGGAAUAUUGCACAAUGGGCGGAAGCCUGAUGCAGCAACGCCGCGUGCGGGAUGACGGCCUUCGGGUUGUAAACCGCUUUCGCCUGUGACGAAGCGUGAGUGACGGUAAUGGGUAAAGAAGCACCGGCUAACUACGUG
This 467-nucleotide ribosomal RNA is filed under the name uncultured bacterium. RNAcentral's name for it is "partial 16S ribosomal RNA". It matches the Rfam family "Bacterial small subunit ribosomal RNA", at positions 29 to 507 of the family's 1533-position model. The record is from RNAcentral.